UACGUAGGGUGCAAGCGUUGUCCGGAAUUAUUGGGCGUAAAGAGCUUGUAGGCGGUUUGUCGGCGUCUGCUGUGAAAUUUCGGGGCUCAACCCCGAACUUGCAGUGGGUACGGGCAGACUAGAGUGUGGUAGGGGAGACUGGAAUUCCUGGUGUAGCGGUGGAAUGCGCAGAGUAUCAGGAGGAACACCGGUGGGCGAAGGC
This 202-nucleotide ribosomal RNA is filed under the name uncultured bacterium. RNAcentral's name for it is "partial 16S ribosomal RNA". It matches the Rfam family "Bacterial small subunit ribosomal RNA", at positions 524 to 722 of the family's 1533-position model. The record is from RNAcentral.